CGCUGGAAUUCAAACAACCACCACCAACAUACAACACAGGCUUCUUAGACUCCGAAAUCAACCUAACAAUCUGCUCCAAAUGAGAAUCUUCCGGAGGUUUAGGCAUCCUAGACAUAUAACCAGGUAAUCUCAUAGCCUGUUCCCAAUUAGGAAUCGCAAGCUGUUGUUGAAUAUCUUUAGGAACAUCAACCAAAACAGGUCCAGGUCUACCAGAAGUAGCUAAAAAGAAAGCUUCCUCAAUAAUCCUAGGAAUAUCUUCAACAUCCAUCACAAGAUAGUUAUGCUUCGUAAUCGAACGCGUAACCUCAACAAUCGGAGUUUCUUGAAACGCAUCAGUACCAAUCAUCCUACGAGGGACUUGACCUGUGAUUGCUACAAGAGGAACACUAUCUAACAAGGCAUCGGCUAAUCCGCUAACGAGAUUUGUAGCUCCGGGACCUGAAGUGGCUAUACAGAUACCUGGUUUACCUGAGGAUCGAGCGUAUCCUUCGGCGGCGAAAACACCUCCUUGUUCGUGACGAGGAAGGACGUUA
RNAcentral lists this long non-coding RNA (533 nucleotides) under Arabidopsis lyrata. RNAcentral describes it as "long non-coding RNA (ALYR_LNC001755)". Lineage: Eukaryota; Viridiplantae; Streptophyta; Magnoliopsida; Brassicales; Brassicaceae. The record is from RNAcentral.